AGCUUGGUAAAGCAUCUGCCUACAAUGCAGGAGACCCAGGUUCAAUCCCUGG
RNAcentral lists this transfer RNA (52 nucleotides) under Ovis aries (sheep). It matches the Rfam family "tRNA", at positions 9 to 63 of the family's 71-position model. From Rfam's summary of the family: Transfer RNA (tRNA) molecules are approximately 80 nucleotides in length. The record is from Rfam by way of RNAcentral. Lineage: Eukaryota; Metazoa; Chordata; Mammalia; Artiodactyla; Bovidae.